AUCUUUUGAGUAUGAAGAGUACGCCUGCCUUCCAAGCAGGAGGAUUAAAAAAAUUUAAAGAAGAUA
This 66-nucleotide transfer RNA is filed under the name Anguloclavus sp. 2 MNHN IM 2013-9661. Its description in RNAcentral is "tRNA-Gly". The record is from RNAcentral. Lineage: Eukaryota; Metazoa; Mollusca; Gastropoda; Neogastropoda; Drilliidae.